Molecule: RNase P RNA, 396 nt
Filed under: Pedosphaera parvula Ellin514
Lineage: Bacteria; Pseudomonadati; Verrucomicrobiota; Pedosphaerae; Pedosphaerales; Pedosphaeraceae
Description: Bacterial RNase P class A
Rfam family: Bacterial RNase P class A
About the family: Ribonuclease P (RNase P) is a ubiquitous endoribonuclease, found in archaea, bacteria and eukarya as well as chloroplasts and mitochondria. Its best characterised activity is the generation of mature 5'-ends of tRNAs by cleaving the 5'-leader elements of precursor-tRNAs.
Source: Rfam by way of RNAcentral
UUGGAAGGGCGGAGGAUCGCUUUCGGCGCAAGCUGGAGGAGGAAAGUCCGAACUCCGUAGGGCUCGAUGCCGCGUAACCUUUGCUUUCGGGCAUUGGAUACACGCGGGAGGCGUGGUCGAAAGACCUGCCGAUGGAAAGUGCCACAGAAACUUAAACCGCCGUCAGCUUCGGCUGACGGUAAGGGUGAAAAGGCGGGGUAAAAGCCCACCGCUCCAAGAGAAAUCGAGGAGGCACGGAAAACCCCAUCGGGUGCAAGGCCAAAUAGGAAACCGAGGAGCUGCCCGCUCCGCGUUCCGCGCAAGCGGAGCAGGUUUCGGGUAUUGGCUGCUCAGACAAAUGAUUCUCUCCGUUCGAAAGAACGCAGACAAAAUUCGGCUUACAGCCCUUCCAAAAUC